This 505-nucleotide ribosomal RNA is filed under the name uncultured bacterium. Its description in RNAcentral is "partial 16S ribosomal RNA". It matches the Rfam family "Bacterial small subunit ribosomal RNA", at positions 28 to 507 of the family's 1533-position model. The record is from RNAcentral.
GACGAACGCUGGCGGCGUGCCUAAUACAUGCAAGUAGAACGCAAAGUUUAUACCGUAGCUUGCUACACCAUAGACUGUGAGUUGCGAAAGGGUGAGUAACGCGUCGGUAACCUGCCUGGUAGCGGGGGAUAACUAUUGGAAACGAUAGCUAAUAGCGCCUAAUAUUAAUUAUUGCAUGAUAAUUAAUUGAAAGGUGCAAUUGAAACACUACCAGAUGGAUCUUCGUUGUAUUAGCUAGUAGGUGAGGUAACGGCUCACCUAGGCGACGAUACAUAGCCGACCGGAGAGGCUGGUCGGCCGCACUGGGACGGAGACACGGCCCAGACGCCUACGGGAGGCAGCAGUAGUGAAUCUGCGGCAAUGGGCGAAAGUCUGAGCGAGCAACGCCGCAGGAGUGAGGAGGAUUUUCGGGUCGUAGAGCUCUGUUGUAGGAGAAGAACGGGUGUUAGAGUGGAAAGUUCACACAGUGACGGUAACGUACCAGAAAGGGACGGCUAACUACGUG